Molecule: long non-coding RNA, 479 nt
Organism: Penaeus chinensis
Lineage: Eukaryota; Metazoa; Arthropoda; Malacostraca; Decapoda; Penaeidae
Exons: 4
Source: RefSeq, a predicted model, not a curated record
UCGAGCCAGUCCUGCCCAAUCACGCCCGCGUUCUUGCUGUCACCUAAGCACGGCCGCCCACCUCGGAGGCACGGCCACGAGACUGUGAAGCCGAGGAUUAAUCUCCCGUGACCGACGGAUUUGACCUUUUUUCACUCGGGUCAAAGGGGCGUCGUUGGGGUGCCUAGUGGUGGAUAGACAAGGCAAGCCUCUCGCACGACGACCUCCCCCCACCCCUCUCCCCCCGCCGCCAAGCCGCUACCACGACCACCAUCGCAAAGGAAGCUGCGUACCUACCUGUUACACUGGUGUGAGGAGUAAGAACAGCCGUCUCGCGUAUGCCUGAAGGACUUCUAGCGAUGGUGCCUGUUCGAGAAGUGCGAUGAAGCGAUAAAGUGUAAAGCGAGACCAGGAGCCAAACGGACGCGUUUAGAGCCGACUCGCAGACCUCGGCCCUCCCGGCGUGGUAUGUGAGGUGCAGCCGCCCCUGGUCGCGCCGC